This 301-nucleotide ribosomal RNA is filed under the name uncultured bacterium. Its description in RNAcentral is "partial 16S ribosomal RNA". It matches the Rfam family "Bacterial small subunit ribosomal RNA", at positions 509 to 807 of the family's 1533-position model. The record is from RNAcentral.
CAGUCGCCGCGGGAAUACGUAGGGGGCAAGCGUUGUCCGGAAUUAUUGGGCGUAAAGCGCGUGUAGGCGGCUCAGCAAGUCCGCUCUGAAAGCCCAGGGCUCAACCCUGGGAUGCGGGUGGAUACUGCUGAGCUCGAGUCCGGAAGAGGCGAGUGGAAUUCCUGGUGUAGCGGUGAAAUGCGCAGAUAUCAGGAGGAACACCAAUGGCGAAGGCAGCUCGCUGGGACGUGACUGACGCUGAGACGCGAAAGCGUGGGGAGCAAACAGGAUUAGAUACCCCCGUAGUCCCUGUCUCUUAUAC